Molecule: long non-coding RNA, 215 nt
Filed under: Gallus gallus (chicken)
Lineage: Eukaryota; Metazoa; Chordata; Aves; Galliformes; Phasianidae
Source: RNAcentral
GCCUUUUUCAGAUGGCUUUGUUCCAGUCCUUUACGAAUAUGCUUGCACACAGGCUCCACUAUAUCCAUAGACUCAUCAGCCUGUGCAGUUUUGCCUUUGGUCCGUUUCUUUCCCAUAUUUGUAGCCUAUGAUUUUCUUCACACACAACAGUGACCGCGUCCCGCGCCGCUCACGUGUCGCCCGCACGGCCCCGCUCCGGCCUCUCCGCGCACCAG